GUUGGCUUCCUGCCGCCCUGGAGCAUGUUGGGAAGCUGUUUUCAUCAGUUGAAACCUUUGAAGACCCCUAAAAUACAACUGAAAAUCGCGACCUCGCAGGCUUACAGACUAUAGAGCUGGAAAGGCCCUUAGGAAACAACCAGAGCACAGCAAAGGUGUCAGCUGCUGUGAAGCGAAACUUCUCCAAUGCUGCCCAAACCAGAUUAAAAUGUCACUGGGAAAAGUUUUUAAAAAUAAAGACAACACAGCACAGAUGAGGCUAGUUGAAUUUUCCGAGGAGAAUUCACCAAUUGCUGUUUAUCCCAGAGGAAGAAAGAAAGGAA
Phascolarctos cinereus (koala) is the source of this 323-nucleotide non-coding RNA. Lineage: Eukaryota; Metazoa; Chordata; Mammalia; Diprotodontia; Phascolarctidae. The record is from RefSeq and is a predicted model, not a curated record.